Molecule: ribosomal RNA, 360 nt
Filed under: uncultured bacterium
Lineage: Bacteria
Description: bacterial SSU rRNA
Rfam family: Bacterial small subunit ribosomal RNA
Source: RNAcentral
GAGUUUGAUCAUGGCUCAGGAUGAACGCUAGCGGCAGGCUUAACACAUGCAAGUCGAGGGGUAGUAUAGCAAUAUAUGAGACCGGCGCACGGGUGCGUAACGCGUAUGCAAUCUACCUUUUACAGGGGAAUAGCCCAGAGAAAUUUGGAUUAAUGCCCCAUGGUAUAAUUGAUUGGCAUCAAUUAAUUAUUAAAGUUCCAACGGUAAAAGAUGAGCAUGCGUCCCAUUAGCUAGUUGGUAUGGUAACGGCAUACCAAGGCGAUGAUGGGUAGGGGUCCUGAGAGGGAGAUCCCCCACACUGGUACUGAGACACGGACCAGACUCCUACGGGAGGCAGCAGUGAGGAAUAUUGGACAAUGG